GAACUGAAGAGUUUGAUCAUGGCUCAGAUUGAACGCUGGCGGCAGGCCUAACACAUGCAAGUCGAGCGGAUGACGGGAGCUUGCUCCUUGAUUCAGCGGCGGACGGGUGAGUAAUGCCUAGGAAUCUGCCUGGUAGUGGGGGACAACGUUUCGAAAGGAACGCUAAUACC
This 170-nucleotide ribosomal RNA is filed under the name Pseudomonas asiatica. RNAcentral's name for it is "partial 16S ribosomal RNA". It matches the Rfam family "Bacterial small subunit ribosomal RNA", at positions 1 to 170 of the family's 1533-position model. RNAcentral also lists the same sequence under 1 other name. The record is from RNAcentral. Lineage: Bacteria; Pseudomonadati; Pseudomonadota; Gammaproteobacteria; Pseudomonadales; Pseudomonadaceae.